Molecule: ribosomal RNA, 396 nt
Filed under: uncultured bacterium
Lineage: Bacteria
Description: bacterial SSU rRNA
Rfam family: Bacterial small subunit ribosomal RNA
Source: RNAcentral
AUUGAACGCUGGCGGCAUGCCUUACACAUGCAAGUCGAACGGCAGCACGGGAGCAAUCCUGGUGGCGAGUGGCGAACGGGUGAGUAAUAUAUCGGAACGUGCCCAGUCGUGGGGGAUAACGUAGCGAAAGUUACGCUAAUACCGCAUACGAUCUAUGGAUGAAAGCGGGGGAUCGCAAGACCUCGCGCGAUUGGAGCGGCCGAUAUCAGAUUAGGUAGUUGGUGGGGUAAAGGCUCACCAAGCCGACGAUCUGUAGCUGGUCUGAGAGGAUGAUCCGCCACACUGGAACUGAGACACGGUCCAGACUCCUACGGGAGGCAGCAGUGGGGAAUUUUGGACAAUGGGGGCAACCCUGAUCCAGCCAUGCCGCGUGAGUGAAGAAGGCCUCGGUUGGUU